This 253-nucleotide ribosomal RNA is filed under the name uncultured bacterium. RNAcentral describes it as "partial 16S ribosomal RNA". It matches the Rfam family "Bacterial small subunit ribosomal RNA", at positions 524 to 776 of the family's 1533-position model. The record is from RNAcentral.
UACGAAGGGUGCAAGCGUUACUCGGAAUUACUGGGCGUAAAGCGUGCGUAGGCGGUUUGUUAAGUCCGUUGUGAAAGCCCUGGGCUCAACCUGGGAAUGGCGGUGGAUACUGACAAGCUAGAGUGCGGUAGAGGAGGGUGGAAUUCCCGGUGUAGCGGUGAAAUGCGUAGAGAUCGGGAGGAACAUCAGUGGCGAAGGCGGCCCUCUGGACCAGCACUGACGCUGAGGCACGAAAGCGUGGGGAGCAAACAGG